Molecule: long non-coding RNA, 984 nt
Organism: Molossus molossus (Pallas's mastiff bat)
Lineage: Eukaryota; Metazoa; Chordata; Mammalia; Chiroptera; Molossidae
Exons: 4
Source: RefSeq, a predicted model, not a curated record
CUUUUGUCCAUAGUAGAAAUUUUGCUCUGUACAUGCACAGAGGCAUAUGUGCCAGCCCCUGUGGGAGCUGCAGGACAACAGAGCAGGUGUCAGGGGUUCCCCUCAGAGUACAGCUCCUCAGAGCCCAGCAGAAAAAGAGGCUGCAACUCUAUAAUCCCAGGUGCUGUCAUUAUUGCUAUCUGUGUUCAUUUAUUCAAUAUAUUGCUUGUCUCCCCAUUUUAUAGGCAGAAAGGCUCAGGCAGGUUAAAUAACCUGUCCCAAGCCAUCCAGCUAGAGUGAGAACCCAGCACUGGUCAGAUUCCAACAGGUUCAGAUGUCCCAGACCUGAGUCUCUGCCAGGAGGUGUCAAGACUUCCAUCAUAUUGGGGCCAUUCUGCUCCCUAAAAAUCAUCAGACCUUGUUGAAACCUCAGAUAUGGAGACAAGAGACAGCCCAGAAGGAUGGUAGAGUUUGCUCUGGGGCAUGUAAACAAGGAGCCAAAUGGAGAGAGCUGCCUCUUGGCCAGAGUCCUGCAUUCCUUAUCCUGAGAACCCUACCACAUCCUGAAGAACAGGGGCAAGGCCCUGAAGACGGGAAGAGGAAGAAGAGGAGAAAAGGCCUCCUCCUGAAGUGGCACAGAAGAGGAUUUCUCCUAAAGACAGUAUCCUGUAAUCCCAAAAGGAAAAUCUGAAGGAAAUUUCACUUCCAUCUCUAAGAGCAGGCUGGCCCCUGGGUUUCGGGGCACAUGCAUCUUCCCUUCUUAUGGAGAAUUGUGAGGAUAAACACCUGCAGAUGUGCAGGUCACCAUGAGAGCAAGCGCCAGAUAUGUGGGAAGGGAGAUACAUAGGGCUUUGCAGGGAACACACUGGAUCCUGUCUGCAUGCCUAGUGAGACCUGGCCCCAGGGCUCUACCUACUUGAGCCCCAGUGUCUCCAUCUGCAAGAUGGGUAUCACAUGUCAUUCACAGAACAGUAUGGGGCUCACAGACCAUGCAUACAAACCUCA